AGUAACUGCGAGUGAAGCGGGAAAAGCUCAAAUUUAAAAUCUGAUAGUCCUAGGCUGUCCGAGUUGUAAUCUAGAGAAGUGUUAUCCGCGCUGGACCGUGUACAAGUCUCCUGGAAUGGAGCGUCAUAGAGGGUGAGAAUCCCGUCUUUGACACGGACUACCAGGGCUUUGUGAUGCGCUCUCAAAGAGUCGAGUUGUUUGGGAAUGCAGCUCAAAAUGGGUGGUAAAUUCCAUCUAAAGCUAAAUAUUGGCGAGAGACCGAUAGCGAACAAGUACCGUGAGGGAAAGAUGAAAAGAACUUUGGAAAGAGAGUUAAACAGUACGUGAAAUUGCUGAAAGGGAAACGCUUGAAGUCAGUCGCGUUGACCAGGGAUCAACCUUGCUCUUGCUGGGUGUACUUUCUGGUUAACGGGUCAACAUCAAUUUUGAUUGUUGGAAAAAGAUCAAGGGAAUGUAGCAUCUUCGGAUGUGUUAUAGCCUUUGGUUGUAUACAACAGUUGGGAUUGAGGAACU
Molecule: ribosomal RNA, 513 nt
Filed under: Cystoderma muscicola
Lineage: Eukaryota; Fungi; Basidiomycota; Agaricomycetes; Agaricales; Squamanitaceae
Description: partial large subunit ribosomal RNA
Rfam family: Eukaryotic large subunit ribosomal RNA
Source: RNAcentral